UUGGCUGUGGCUCGGAGGUAGAGCAUCUGCUUUGAAUGCAGAAAAUCUGCAGUUCAAUUCUUGGCAUUUCCUGUUAAG
This 78-nucleotide transfer RNA is filed under the name Sphaerodactylus townsendi. RNAcentral's name for it is "tRNA-Ser". The stretch from base 6 to 66 matches the Rfam family "tRNA", at positions 6 to 65 of the family's 71-position model. Rfam says of the family: Transfer RNA (tRNA) molecules are approximately 80 nucleotides in length. Their secondary structure includes four short double-helical elements and three loops (D, anti-codon, and T loops). Lineage: Eukaryota; Metazoa; Chordata; Lepidosauria; Squamata; Sphaerodactylidae. The record is from RNAcentral.